GAUGAAGAACGUAGCGAAAUGCGAUAAGUAAUGUGAAUUGCAGAAUUCAGUGAAUCAUCGAAUCUUUGAACGCACCUUGCGCCCUUUGGCUAUUCCAAAGGGCAUGCCUGUUUGAGUAUCGUGAACACCUCAACUCUCAUGGUUUGCCAUGAUGAGCUUGGACUUUGGGGGUUUUGCUGGCCUUUGGUCGGCUCCUCUCAAACGGAUCAGCUUUCCAGUGUUUGGUGGCGUCACGGGUGUGAUAACUAUCUACGCCUGUGGUUUUCUGCCAGAUAACCUUCAGCGAUGGAGGUUCGCUGGGGCUCAUAAAUGUCUCUCUUCAGUGGAGACAGCUUUUUGGACGUUUGAUCUCAAAUCAGGUAGGACUACCCGCUGAACUUAAGCAUAUCAAUAAGCGGAGGA
This 402-nucleotide unclassified non-coding RNA is filed under the name soil metagenome. RNAcentral describes it as "partial contains 5.8S ribosomal RNA, internal transcribed spacer 2, and large subunit ribosomal RNA". The stretch from base 1 to 121 matches the Rfam family "5.8S ribosomal RNA", at positions 35 to 154 of the family's 154-position model. The record is from RNAcentral.